Molecule: ribosomal RNA, 251 nt
Filed under: uncultured prokaryote
Description: partial 16S rRNA
Rfam family: Bacterial small subunit ribosomal RNA
Source: RNAcentral
ACGGGGGGUGCAAGCGUUGUUCGGAAUCAUUGGGCGUAAAGAGCGUGUAGGCGGCUUAACAAGUCAGAUGUGAAAUCCCUGGGCUUAACCCAGGAAGUGCAUUUGAAACUGUUUGGCUUGAGUAAGGGAGAGGAAAGUGGAAUUCCUGGUGUAGAGGUGAAAUCCGGAGAUCUCAGGAGGACCACCGGUGGCGAAGGCGACUUACCAGACCUGUACUGACGGUGAGGCGCGAAAGCGUGGGUAGCAAACCG